GCGCGGGUGGUGGAAUUGGUAGACACGCAGGUCUCAGAAGCCUGAGUCGAAAGAUGUGCAGGUUCAAGUCCUGUCCCGCGCACCA
RNAcentral lists this transfer RNA (85 nucleotides) under Bdellovibrio sp. RNAcentral describes it as "tRNA-Leu". It matches the Rfam family "tRNA". From Rfam's summary of the family: Transfer RNA (tRNA) molecules are approximately 80 nucleotides in length. Lineage: Bacteria; Pseudomonadati; Bdellovibrionota; Bdellovibrionia; Bdellovibrionales; Pseudobdellovibrionaceae. The record is from RNAcentral.